GACGAACGCUGGCGGCGUGCCUAACACAUGCAAGUCGAGCGGAGAUGUACUGAAGAUUUAUCGGAUGUACAUCUUAGCGGCGGACGGGUGAGUAACGCGUGGGCAACCUGCCUUCCACUGGGGGAUAACACAGGGAAACCUGUGCUAAUACCGCAUGACAUCACAUAGGGCAUCCUGUGUGAUCAAAGGAGUGAUCCGGUGGAAGAUGGGCCCGCGUCCGAUUAGCUAGUUGGUGAGGUAACGGCUCACCAAGGCGACGAUCGGUAGCCGGACUGAGAGGUUGGCCGGCCACAUUGGGACUGAGACACGGCCCAGACUCCUACGGGAGGCAGCAGUGGGGAAUAUUGCGCAAUGGGGGGAACCCUGACGCAGCGACGCCGCGUGAAGGAAGAAGGCCUUCGGUUGUAAACUUCUUGUAUGAGGGACGAAGGAAGUGACGGUACCUCAAAACAAGACCACGGCUAACUACGUGCCAGCAGCCGCGGUAAAAGUC
RNAcentral lists this ribosomal RNA (493 nucleotides) under uncultured bacterium. RNAcentral describes it as "bacterial SSU rRNA". It matches the Rfam family "Bacterial small subunit ribosomal RNA", at positions 28 to 526 of the family's 1533-position model. The record is from RNAcentral.